GAUGAACGCUGGCGGCGUGCUUAACACAUGCAAGUCGAACGAAGCUAUUAAAAGGAAGUUUUCGGAUGGAAUUUUAAUCGACUUAGUGGCGGACGGGUGAGUAACGCGUGGAUAACCUGCCUUAUACAGGGGGAUAACGGAGAGAAAUUUCCGCUAAGACCGCAUAAGACCACAGCACCGCAUGGUGCAGGGGUAAAAUAUUUAUAGGUAUAAGAUGGAUCCGCGUCCGAUUAGCUAGUUGGUGAGGUAGAGGCUCACCAAGGCGACGAUCGGUAGCCGGCCUGAGAGGGUGAACGGCCACAUUGGGACUGAGACACGGCCCAAACUCCUACGGGAGGCAGCAGCGGGGAAUAUUGGACAAUGGGGGGAACCCUGAUCCAGCGACGCCGCGUGAGUGAAGAAGUAUUUCGGUAUGUAAAGCUCUAUCAGCAGGGAAGAAAAUGACGGUACCUGACUAAGAAGCCCCGGCUAACUACGUGCCAGCAGCCGCGGUAAUACGUAGGGGGCAAGCGUUAUCCGGAUUUACUGGGUGUAAAGGGAGCGCAGACGGCGAUGCAAGUCUGAAGUGAAAGGCGUGGGCUCAACCCAUGAACUGCUUUGGAAACUGUAUAGCUUGAGUGUCGGAGGGGUAAGCGGAAUUCCUAGUGUAGCGGUGAAAUGCGUAGAUAUUAGGAGGAACACCGGAGGCGAAGGCGGCUUACUGGACGACAACUGACGUUGAGGCUCGAAGGCGUGGGGAGCAAACAGG
This 748-nucleotide ribosomal RNA is filed under the name uncultured Lachnospiraceae bacterium. Its description in RNAcentral is "bacterial SSU rRNA". It matches the Rfam family "Bacterial small subunit ribosomal RNA", at positions 28 to 776 of the family's 1533-position model. The record is from RNAcentral. Lineage: Bacteria; Bacillati; Bacillota; Clostridia; Lachnospirales; Lachnospiraceae.